This 483-nucleotide ribosomal RNA is filed under the name uncultured bacterium. RNAcentral's name for it is "partial 16S ribosomal RNA". It matches the Rfam family "Bacterial small subunit ribosomal RNA", at positions 28 to 523 of the family's 1533-position model. The record is from RNAcentral.
GACGAACGCUGGCGGCGUGCUUAACACAUGCAAGUCGAACGAUGAAGCUGGAGCUUGCUCCGGUGGAUUAGUGGCGAACGGGUGAGUAACACGUGAGCAAUUUGCCCUUGACUCUGGGAUAACUGCGGGAAACUGUAGCUAAUACCGGAUAUGAGGCUUGGAGGCAUCUCCAGGUCUGGAAAGAAUUUCGGUCAAGGAUGAGCUCGCGGCCUAUCAGCUAGUUGGUGAGGUAAUGGCUCACCAAGGCGACGACGGGUAGCCGGCCUGAGAGGGUGACCGGCCACACUGGGACUGAGACACGGCCCAGACUCCUACGGAAGGCAGCAGUGGGGAAUAUUGCACAAUGGGCGGAAGCCUGAUGCAGCAGCGCCGCGUGAGGGAUGAAGGCCUUCGGGUUGUAAACCUCUUUUAGCAGGGAAGAAGCGAAAGUGACGGUACCUGCAGAAAAAGCACCGGCUAACUACGUGCCAGCAGCCGCCGUAA